This is a non-coding RNA of Gossypium arboreum, 58 nucleotides long. NCBI's taxonomy places the organism in Eukaryota, Viridiplantae, Streptophyta, Magnoliopsida, Malvales, Malvaceae. The record is from Rfam.
UUGGGCGAGAGUAGUACUAGGAUGGGUGACCUCCUGGGAAAUCCUCGUGUUGCACCCC